UGAUUAAUAGGGAUAGUUGGGGGCAUUCGUAUUCAAUUGUCGGAGGUGAAAUUCUUGGAUUUAUNCGAACNACGAACUACUGCGAAAGCAUUUGCCAAGGAUGUUUUCAUUGAUCAAGAACGAAGGUUAGGGGAUCGAAAACGAUCAGAUACCGUUGUAGUCUUAACAGUAAACGAUGCCGACUAGGGAUCGGAUGAGAUUUUUAAUGACUCAUUCGGCACCUGAAGAGAAAUCUUUAAGUCAGGUUCGGGGGGGAGUAUGGUCGCAAGGCUGAAACUUAAAGGAAUUGACGGAAGGGCACCACCAGGUGUGGAGCCUGCGGCUUAAUUUGACUCAACACGGGGAAACUCACCAGGUCCAGACACGACAAGGAUUGACAGAUUGAUAGCUCUUUCUUGAUUUCGUGGGUGGUGGUGCAUGGCCGUUCUUAGUUGGUGGAGUGAUUUGUCAGCUUANUNGCGAUAACGAACGAGACCUUAACCUGCUAAAUAGCCCGUAUUGCUUUGGCAGUACGCCGGCUUCUUAGAGGGACUAUCGGCUCAAGCCGAUNGAAGUUUGAGGCAAUAACAGGUCUGUGAUGCCCUUANAUGUUCUGGGCCGCACGCGCGCUACACUGACAGAGCCAGCGAGUACUCCCNUGGCCGGAAGGUCCGGNUAAUCUUGUUNAACUCUGUCGUGCUGGGGAUAGGGCAUUGCAAUA
This 700-nucleotide ribosomal RNA is filed under the name uncultured fungus. RNAcentral describes it as "SSU rRNA". It matches the Rfam family "Eukaryotic small subunit ribosomal RNA", at positions 866 to 1591 of the family's 1831-position model. Lineage: Eukaryota; Fungi. The record is from RNAcentral.